Molecule: long non-coding RNA, 559 nt
Filed under: Nicotiana tabacum (common tobacco)
Lineage: Eukaryota; Viridiplantae; Streptophyta; Magnoliopsida; Solanales; Solanaceae
Description: long non-coding RNA (NTAB_LNC016241)
Source: RNAcentral
AAAGGAAUAAAGAUGGGAGAAAAUAAAAAAUGGCUGAAAUUUCACAAAAAAUCACUGUUUUAUUGAUUGCUGAUUUCAGUUCUUGAGGUUUUCAACUUCUGAACCAGUUCUGAUUCAUCUCGGUUUGAAAGUGGUUUGAAUCAAAAGCUGUGGCUUAUUUCUUUUGCUGUUGGUUUGCUAUUACUAUUUCCUCUUAGUCUCAGGCUGAUUUUGGUUUUUUUCUUGCUAUUAUUCAGGUACACACUUCUACCUUCCACCUAAUGUAAAGCUUGGUUUGGAAUCUAAAUGGAAAUAUGGAGCUUUGAGUGGUAGUUAUGUUCAUAGUUUAGUUUACUUGUUUAUUUUUAUUUUAUUUAGAGAGUUUUGCUUAUUGAAUAUGGACCAAAAAUUGGGAUUUUGAAUAUUGUAUGCUACAUGAUAGUUUGGAUUGGUUUCCAUUUUAGCCUAAGCCUUUUAAAUGUAGUCAUUUGGUGUUGCAUGUUUUGCUUUAAGGUUUGGAUUUGAACCUGUCAAAUGUGGCUGAUUCAAGAUCUUUUGGACUUUUAAAUGUGUACUAAGU